GACGGAGGAUGCAAGCGUUAUCCGGAAUGAUUGGGCGUAAAGCGUCCGCAGGCGGCAGUUCAAGUCUGCUGUCAAAGACCGGGGCUUAACUUCGGAAAGGCAGUGGAAACUGAACAGCUAGAGUAUGGUAGGGGCAGAGGGAAUUCCUGGUGUAGCGGUGAAAUGCGUAGAUAUCAGGAGGAACACCGAUGGCGAAGGCAGCUCGCUGGGACGGUACUGACGCUGAGGCGCGAAAGCGUGGGGAGCAAACAGG
RNAcentral lists this ribosomal RNA (253 nucleotides) under uncultured bacterium. RNAcentral describes it as "partial 16S ribosomal RNA". It matches the Rfam family "Bacterial small subunit ribosomal RNA", at positions 524 to 776 of the family's 1533-position model. The record is from RNAcentral.